Long non-coding RNA from Oncorhynchus tshawytscha (Chinook salmon), 1132 nucleotides. The record is from Ensembl. Lineage: Eukaryota; Metazoa; Chordata; Actinopteri; Salmoniformes; Salmonidae.
AGAAAGCUAGCUAGCUAGCUAGGUAUCAGUCUAGAGGAACCAUCGGAAAGCCAGCUAGCUAGGUAUCAGUCUAGAGCAUCACACAUUACACAGGUAGAUGUUUCGUCUUCAGUUCAGUGUGGGACACAGAAGAAGCAGGCAGCAGUAGUAGUAGCAUAAAUAAGAUAUCAGCUCUUACGGUUUGUCUUCAGAACCAUUUUUAAAAAACAAUAGAAACAGAAUGAUUCUUGUAUGUUGUGAGAUAUUUAAAACAAUAGACAGACAACAUGAUUAAAUGAAUUAAUAGUACGAGAACUAGGUGGACCAACUUUUGUUUUGCAACAACAACCUUUUUAGUCAGAGAGUCUUAAUUUCACAGCUACCUAAAUAAUCCAAACGAAAAAAAACAAACAUCUGUGUUGACUAUUCCUUGAAUAAGCCAAUCAGAAGCUUCCUCUUACCAAGCUUGUGUUAGAACACAUCAAAGAUCCUGAGACGACACAGUUCUAGAAAACUGAGCUAAAUAUAGAACACAGAUCUCUUUCUUUACAAAAAAAAAAAAAAAAAAAAAAAUUGGGGGAGGUGAACUUGGGGAUACAACCCCCCCCAACUCCAUUUUAAUAACACAUAUGAAAAGAUAAUACAAGCAUGGCCACAGUAAUAUACACCAUGAAAUGAGAAGCAACAGACGUCACACAUCCUCAGGAAAAAAAAAAAAAAAAAAAAAGAGAAUCCCAUCUAAAGUGUAAACACAAAUACAUUAUAGAAAACAAAACGGUAUAAACAUGUUCCCGUGGGAACAGAUAAAGUAACUGUGGUGGUGAAUUCUAGCAACAAUAACAAAACAACAACAAAAGAGUCCCAUUGUAAAUGUGUGGAUCCAGGCUGGCUAGGUUGGUGUGUUAGUAGGCCUGUCAUAUAGCAGGGGAUCUGCACCUCAAGGCUUAACACACAACAGCUAUUGUUCAACCUUUGUACACGUUGACCAGGAUGAAAUCACAGCAUGAAAUAGAAGCACUAAUAACACAAUAUUGUUAUGGAAAUCAUGAUUUAAAAGUACAUUUAGUUAUAUAUCAGUGAUUUUAGUAGCUUUAAAAAAAAAAAUGAUGACAGAUUGUCUAUACAUUCUCUUUAUAUAAUCAUGAAAACCAUA